RNAcentral lists this unclassified non-coding RNA (2637 nucleotides) under Leishmania donovani. RNAcentral's name for it is "gene:LdHU3.08.0300(CDS-product:ABC1_family_putati ve)". The record is from RNAcentral. Lineage: Eukaryota; Euglenozoa; Kinetoplastea; Trypanosomatida; Trypanosomatidae.
GAAAAGUUGUAUCCGACGCCAGCGUCAUCUGGGAGCUGGGGGUGGCAUUGGUACGUUGCGUGGAGCCGCAGUCGCCGCCGCGUCUGCGAGUCUCUCUGGCCCAUCUCGCACGUUUCCGUCCUUAGUCCUUGUCUUUCGCCGCGCUCGGCCUCUCACAUCUGGCCGUCGCUCACCCACUUACACGUACAAGAGGAGACGUCGGGCAACAGCCGCCGCAGCAGCGCCACACUGUCAUGACUUUUCGGUUUAGCCGAGCAGCGCGUUAUGGCGCAGCGGCAGCAGGCUUCAUGGGGGCCAGCACGGUUGCCAUUCUCCUGCCGCCAAGGGAGACGAUCCCGCCGGUGCUGCUGCCGUCGCGUGUCCUGUUCGAAGGCAUCGGCCGCGUCGGGCGGUGCGUGUACGCAGGUGGGCAGAUCUACUGCGACUACGCCUUCAACGUGACGCAGGAGGAUGGGCAGGAGCAGUGGAACGAGGUGCACCGGCGGUGCGCGGAGCGGCUGGUCGAUCUGGCAGAGAGAAACGGGGGGCUGUACGUGAAGGCGGGGCAGAUCUUCGCGAACAUGAGCCACAUCCUGCCCUAUCAGUACUGCCAAGUGAUGGCGGUGCUGCAGGAUGCGGUGGUGAAGCGGCCCUACGCGGAAGUUGUAGCCGUGCUGGAGAAGGACUUGGGGCGCCCGCUCGGCGAAGUGUUUUCGUACAUCGACCCGACCCCGCUGGCAGCCGCGUCGCUGGCGCAGGUGCACCGUGGCCGUCUGCGCGACGAGGACGUGGAGGUGGCAGUCAAGGUGCAGUACAUCGACAUUGCGCAGCGGUUCAACGGUGACAUGCGCACCAUCUCCCUCAUGUUUGCCGCAGCCAGCUACUUCUUUCCUGGCUACGACUUUGGCCAGAUCAUCGCGAAGCUGAACGACACCGUCGCGGCCGAGCUCGACUUCCGGAUCGAGGGCCGGAAUAGUGACCGGGCCGCGGCGGAUCUGCGGUCCUGCGGAUGGGGGGAGCGCGUCGUGUGCCCACGCAUCUUCUGGAAUUACGCCAGCAGGCGCGUGCUCGUCUCGCAGUUCAUUCCAGAUGCGGUGAAGGUAUCGGACCGCGCAGGCAUUGCGGCGAUGGGGCUCAACGUGAAGGAGGUGGCAACGACGUUCUUCGAGGUCAUCGCCUUCCAGAUCUUCCGCACCGGCUUCUUCCAUGGAGACCCGCACGCCGGCAACGUCCUCGUGCACAAGCUGCCAGAUGGGAAGCCACAGGUAGUCCUGCUGGACUUUGGCCUGUGUGCGGAGCUCAAUGCGGCUCAACGCCGCGAGAUCAGCGACAUCUGGACGGCCUCCACCACCCACGACACUCCCAAGAUCACCGAGAUUGCGCGCCGUUACGACUGCGACGACUACGAGCUGUUCGCCUCCUGCUUCCUGCAGCACCCGUAUGAGUACUUCGCGAACAGCACCAGCGGCCGGCUCAAUAGCCCGUACGCGCUAGAGAAGAUGCGGGAAACCGUGAAGCAUCGCAUGACGGAUCUGAACGGCAUCGUAGCAGCACUGCCGAAGGAGUAUGCCCUCGUGCUGCGCAGCAUCAUGGCCACCAAGGCCAUCAAUCGUGAGCUCGGCGAGGCGGCGAACCGCCCGAUGUGCAUGCUGCGCUACUCCCUCAAGACCUCUCACGAGGACCUCCCCAAGAUCCAGUUCCUGGUACUGAUGUCCAAGGCGUGGGUUUCAGAGUUGUACGCGUGGCUGUUGCUGCGGUUCACGCUGUGGCGACACCCGGAGCUGUCUGAGGUGUUGGAGAGCUCGCUGCAGCUGAGCGGCUAGCAAAUCCUGGGCGAAAACGCGUGCGACGACCCUGUGUGGGGUGUGCGAUCGGCGAGAAGGGCUCGACACAGGUAUCUGUGUGGAUGCUGGCGAGUGCGCGUUGGCCCGCAUGAGGCGGCGACGUCAUAUCCUCAAACCAUUUUUGGAGACAAGCCGUAAAGAGGUGGAGGUCACUCGAGGCAGGAAGAAGAGGGUGGGUCUCGGGGGAUCGCUCGAUCCCGCUGCUCAGCUCUCGUCUGCCGCUCCUUCGGGCCAUUGUGUGUUGGGCGAAUGGCGCGCAUGCGUCUGCGUCCUUCGGCCGUGAGCCGGCGUUGCAUUUUGGGUGCUUCACAGUUCACUUCACUCGUCUCUUUUCGUGAUAGUAUACGAGACGAGACGGCGGAGAAGUGCGUCACGGAUUUGUGCGUGCGCGUGUAGGCGAUGUGCCUUGUCUGCCUGUUGUGUGUGUGUGUGUGUGUGUGUGUGUGUGUUUGUGCUUGUGUGCGAGUGGUGGUACGGCGCCGGAGGUGUCGGGUGGGGAGGAGUCUGUGCUGGAGACAAGAUCCCACGUCGGCAGUCAGACGUACGUCGGGUCGUUAUCCGUUCAUGUUCAACCGCAAGUCCUCCGCUCCCCUCCCAAUCCUCUCACUGCUCUCCGUCUCUGUGCUCAUCUUGCGGUCUGCAGCUCACGCACGCAUUCACGCCGUCGUGCGUGCGAGCACAACGGCCACAGAGGCAGAGAGGGGCCUGUGGCCUCCCUUCUUCUAUCUCGUGGUCCUCUGCCUCGGUGUCUCCCUCUGCGACUGUUCAUACGUGCUUGCCGCUUCCGCUUGCAGUGAGGCAACGCCCGACACGG